RNA transcript from Pseudoliparis swirei, 2925 nucleotides. It is a transcript of the gene named zinc finger protein 599-like, with no coding region annotated. Lineage: Eukaryota; Metazoa; Chordata; Actinopteri; Perciformes; Liparidae. The transcript is spliced from 3 exons. The record is from RefSeq and is a predicted model, not a curated record.
AGGUGCCUCCGCCAGCUGCCCGGAUGUGCCUCCAUUCCAAGCUCCCGUCGGCAGCAGCAGCGUCUCUUCGUCACUGCGGUGGUAAAGUGUCAGUUAGCUCCUUCAGUCCUGACCCAGCAGAGUCUCUGUAUGUCUGGAUAAACCUCUGAAUGGACUUCUAGAGGUUCUCCUUUGGUUCUGGAUGUUGUUCCUCGGACUCAUCUCCCGCUACAAAGACAUUGAAGUUAGCUUAGCAUGCUAACAGCGCUAGUCCCAGUUUAAAGGAGAGGAACGGGCUUUGUGACGGACUUUGUGUGGAGAAAACGUUUCUGUCGUUGGGGGGAAAUGUCUAAAGUCCAAAUGCUGAGAUGUUUCGUCAACCAGCGACUCACUGCGGCUGCGCAGGAGAUAUGUGGGCUGUUUGAAAGAACGAUAGCAGAGUACGAGGAGGAACUUUGUAGUUCUCAAGAGGAGAACGAGCGACACCGGAAACGACUGCACGCCUUUCUAAAACCGGAAGUCCGGAAACAACGAGCAGACGAGCAGCUGUUGGUGGUGAAAGACGAGCAACAGGACUGGGACUCCAGUCUGGACCAGGAGGACCCAGAGCCCCCCCACAUUGAGGACCAGGAGGACCCAGAGCCCCCCCACAUUAAAGAGGAAGAGGAGGAACUGUGGACCAGUCAGGCGGGAGAGCAGCUCCAAGGUCUGGAGGAGGCUGGCAUCAUGUUCUCAUUCACGACUGUCUCUGUGAAGAGUGAAGAUGAUGAUGAAGAGGAAGCUACAUUCUCUCAGCUUUAUGGAAGACAAACUGAGGAGAACAGAGAGGCGGAGCAUUUGAAAACAGGAGGUGACGGAGAGGACUUGGGGAGAUCAGAACCAGAGACUGAUGACAGUAGAGAUUGGGAGGAGACUCAGGAUCCUCAGUCGGCUUUAAAUCGUCUGCGAACCAGAGACGGAGCUGAAGGCGACGUGAUGUGUAUCGGCUCGGCUUCAUGUGCGGGAAGCUUUGACCACAAGAGACUUCUGAAGAAACGAUCUCGGAUCCAAACGAGAGUGAAACCGUUCCACUGCUCGGUUUGUGGCAAACGGUUUGUAUUCCACAGCGCGCUUAAAAAACACGUCAUUGUCCACACGGGAGAGAAACCCUUCGGCUGUUCAAUUUGUAGCAAAACAUUCUCGCGAGAGCAACAUCUGAAACGCCACUUAACUGUCCACACGGGGGAGAAACCGUUCAGCUGUCUCAUGUGUAGUAAAACGUUUGCCCAGAAGGGGGAUCUGACCCGACACCUCACCGUCCACACGAGGCUGAAACCUUUCUGUUGUUCCAUUUGUGGCCAAACAUUUUCACGGAAAGGAAACCUGACGAAGCACAUGAAGCUCCACGCAAGGCAGGAGCUACUUGGUUGCAAAUAAAAUGUAAAUUUAGAUUCAAUCAUCUAAUUCAAUUCAUUUUGUAUUGCCCAAUAUCACACAUUUUGAAUAUGCCUCAGGGUUUAACAAUCUGUACACAUAGACAUCCCUAACCUUUGACCUCUGACCUCACAUCGGAUCAGGAACAACUGAGGAGGAUAUCUCCAGGAUGGACAGAUGAACAAUAGACAUCAUGUGACCCGAUGAACAAUAGAUGUCAUGUGACCCGAUGAACAAUAGAUGUCAUGUGACCCGAUGAACAAUAAAUGUCAUGUGACUAGAUGAACAAUAGAUGUCAUGUAACCCGAUGAACAAUAGAUGUCAUGUGACCCGAUGAACAAUAGAUUCAAUUCAAUUCAGUUUAUUUGUAUAGCCCAAUUUCACAAAUUACAAAUUUGUCUCGGAGUGCUUUACAAUCUGUACACAUAGACAUCCCUGCCCCAAAACCUCACAUCGGACCAGGAAAAACUCCCAAAUAACCCUUCAGGGGGGAAAAAAAUGGAAGAAACCUGCAGGAGAGCAACAGAGGAGGAUCCCUCUCCUAGGAUGGACAGAUGCAAUAGAUGUAAUGUGUACAGAAGGACAGAUUUAGAGUUAAAAUACAUUCAAUGAAUAUGACAGAGUGUAUGAAUAGUCCAUAGUAGGCAUAUUCCACGAUGGAGACCUCCACGAUCCAUCAGGCAGAUGGAGGAGUGGGCGGAGUCUCAACAGGACAGUGGCGUAGUCAUGAGCAGGAAUUCCACGACCCAGACGAUCCAUCAGGCAGAUAGGAUCUAUGCCGUCUCAUAGGGUCCGAUGACCCCAUGAGACGUAAAGUCAAAAGGACUUCCGGGGAGAAAGCAGAGUUAGUAACGUGUGAUUGAAAGAUGAAAAUUCAUCCUUAAGGAGAGAAAAAAGAGGAGAUAGGUACUCAGUGCAUCCUAAAACGUCCCCCGGCAGUUAUAAGCCUAUAGCAGCAUAUCAAGGGGCUGGACCAGGUGAACCUGAUUCAGCCCUAACUAUAAGCUCUGUCAAAGAGGAAGGCAGACACAGUCACCUCGUUUAAGAGUAGACUUAAGACCUUCCUCUUUGACAGAGCUUAUAGUUAGGGCUGAAUCAGGUUUGCCCUGGUCCAGCCCCUUGAUAUGCUGCUAUAGGCUUAUAGCUGCCGGGGGACGUUUUAGGAUGCACUGAGUACCUAUCUCCUCUUUUUUCUCCUUAGGGAUGAAUUUUCAUCUCUCAAUCACACGUUACUAACUCUGCUUUCUCCCCGGAAGUCCAUUUGACUUUACGUCUCAUGGGGUCAUCGGACCCUAUGAGACGGCAUAGAUCCUAUCUGCCUGAUGGAUCGUCUGGGUCGUGGAAUUCCUGCUCAUGACUACGCCACUGUCCUGUUGAGACUCCGCCCUCCUCCUCCCCACCGCCAUCUGCCUGAUGGAUCGUGGAGGUCUCCAUCGUGGAAUAUGCCUACUAUGAACUAUUCAUACACUCUGUCAUAUUCAUUGAAUGUAUUUUAACUCUAAAUCUGUCCUUCUGUACACAUUACAUCUAUUG